This 784-nucleotide ribosomal RNA is filed under the name Paramunida aff. setigera PC-2010. RNAcentral's name for it is "partial 16S ribosomal RNA". The record is from RNAcentral. Lineage: Eukaryota; Metazoa; Arthropoda; Malacostraca; Decapoda; Munididae.
UUAAACUAAGAAUAUAAGGGUAGAGCUUUAUUUUCAAAAAAUUAAUAUAAGAUGAAAUAAUAAAUAAUUAUUUAAAAAUUAGACUUUUUAGUGGCCAUAUUAUUAAAGUAUUUUAACUAUUAAAAUGAAAUAAGUUUUAUUUUAAUUUUCUCUUUUUUUAGUAAAGUAUAAAUUUUUAUUAAAAAUAGAUUAGAAAUAAUGAAAAUAUUAGUAGAAUAAUUAAAUGUCAAAAUAAUUUUUUUAUAAUUUUGAAAAUAAUUUUAAUUUAAGUUAAAGAAAAAUUAAAGGAAUUCGGCAAUUUUUUUUUUCUUGCCUGUUUAACAAAAAACUGUGCAAAGGUAGCAUAAUCAUUAGUUUUUUAAUUGAAGACUUGUAUGAAUGGUCCGACAAAGUAAAAGCUGUCUUUAAUUUUAUUUUUGAAAUUAACUUUUAAGUGAAAAGGCUUAAAUAAAUUUAAGGGACGAUAAGACCCUAUAAAUCUUUAUAUUAAUUUAUUAUUUUAAAAUUUAAUAGGUUUUUUGUUUAGAAGAUAAAUAAGUAAAUAAUAUUUUAUUGGGGUGAUGAGAAUAUAAAGAAACUGUUCUUAAUUAAAACAAAGUUAUUUGUUAAGAAAAAGAUAAUUGAUCCUUUAUUAAGAUUAAAAGUUUAAGUUACUUUAGGGAUAACAGCGUUAUUUUUUUUGAGAGUUCCUAUCGAAAAAAAAGUUUGCGACCUCGAUGUUGAAUUAAAAUUUCUUUACAGUGUAGAAGUUGUAGAAGAAAGUCUGUUCGACUUUUAAAAUUUU